Molecule: long non-coding RNA, 1233 nt
Organism: Amborella trichopoda
Lineage: Eukaryota; Viridiplantae; Streptophyta; Magnoliopsida; Amborellales; Amborellaceae
Source: RefSeq, a predicted model, not a curated record
AUGAGAGUAAACAAAUUUCAAUGUGCAGUACAUUUGAAGUGUGAACUACAUCCAACAUUUAGAGCGUGUUUGAUAACGGGAAGUGUUUUUGUGGAAGUCGAGAAUUUCUUACAACUUUCGUGUUUGACAAAAAAAAUGAUAACUUCAAAUCAGAACUCCAAUUUACUGUUCAUCUUUUUCAGUCCCUUUGUAAAAAAAGUUCCGACCUUCAAAAUUGGAAGUUUGUAACUUCCUCUCCUUCGAUAACCCUAGCCACUUUUCUCUUUUUCCCCGUUGAGCACCCACCCCACUGAGCAUCCCUCUGUUCGUUCAUAGAUUUUCCACCGGAUAAAGAUUUUCGUUCUAAAAACCCUCUUCCCUGCGAAGCCAGUGAUCCAUCUUUCUUCCACAAUUCAAGUUCUUAGUCAUGGCAUAUGAUGAUCGUCACCGCGAUGAGGAUGGAGAGCCAUUGAUGGAUCCGGACACGGGUUCAGAACCAGAAGAAGAAGAUUGGGAACGGAGCGAUCACCCACGCCAGUCAUGAAUUCUGGUGAAGACGAUGAGCCUAAAGCUAAACCUAGAAAGAGGCUCAAAAAGAAGAGUAACAAGGAAAGCUUUUUUGGCUGAUGAAGUUCAGGAAAAUGAGGAUUUUUCAGCUGGAAAGUUGAAGGGAAAGAAGGAUCGAGCAAGAAGAGGAAACCAAAGGAAGAAGAAAAUUAGAGCAAAGUCUUGAGAGAGAAGGCUUGGCAAAAGUUCAAAAGUUGCUGAUUGAUGUGGAGCAGUUUGACAGGAAAGAACAACUUAAAAAAAGUGGCUUGGGGAAGGUCAUUAUGUUUUUGUCACGAUCUGAUGAAGAGACCACAACAAAUUGGAAGCUUGCAAAGCAAUUGGUUGAUAAACGGGUGCAAUGUUCACACAAAUUCUAUACAUAGGCGCAUUCUUCUUACAAGAGUUUACUUAUGUGACAAAGUACAGAGACAAGUCUUUACUUAUAUACUUAAACGAAUUAGAGAAGAUAUUUAACACAGAUGCUUUGGAUUGAAGCCAUGUGAAAGUGGGAAGAAAUAAGUGUCAAUGUCUUCCUCAAGGGAUCUCGGCAUCUCAAGAGUGUCUUCCUAAGCAUCUAGUCUUUCCUUUCAUUAAAGUUCUAAUUGUUGUCUAAAUCUUUUCUUUUUCUUUUUUUAAUAUUGGGAACAUUGUGGGACAAAUAACAAUGUUGUUUUAUUGUUGAAUGAGAUAUAUUUUUGAAGUUGG